UACGUAGGUGGCAAGCGUUGUCCGGAAUUAUUGGGCGUAAAGCGCGCGCAGGCGGUCCUUUAAGUCUGAUGUGAAAGCCCACGGCUCAACCGUGGAGGGUCAUUGGAAACUGGGGGACUUGAGUACAGAAGAGAAGAGUGGAAUUCCACGUGUAGCGGUGAAAUGCGUAGAGAUGUGGAGGAACACCAGUGGCGAAGGCGACUCUUUGGUCUGUAACUGACGCUGAGGAACGAAAGCUAGGGGAGCAAACAGG
Molecule: ribosomal RNA, 253 nt
Filed under: uncultured bacterium
Lineage: Bacteria
Description: partial 16S ribosomal RNA
Rfam family: Bacterial small subunit ribosomal RNA
Source: RNAcentral